GACGAACGCUGGCGGCGUGCUUAACACAUGCAAGUCGAACGGGGUGUCAGCAAUGACUCCAAGUGGCGAACGGGUGUGUAACGCGUAGACAACCUACCUUCUAGAUGGGGACAACACCGCGAAAGUGGUGCUAAUACCGAAUGUUGUAACGAGAGCCCAUGCGCUUGUUACUAAAGGUGGCCUCUUAGCAAUGCUACCGCUAGAAGACGGGUCUGCGUCUGAUUAGCUAGUAGGCGGGGUAAAAGCCCACCUAGGCGACGAUCAGUAGCCGGUCUGAGAGGAUGAACGGCCACACUGGGACUGAGACACGGCCCAGACUCCUACGGGAGGCAGCAGUGGGGAAUCUUCCGCAAUGGACGAAAGUCUGACGGAGCAACGCCGCGUGAGUGACGAAGGCCUUCGGGUUGUAAAGCUCUGUUGUCAGGGAAGAACACUCUCUAUGUGAAUAAUGUAGAGAGAUGACGGUACCUGACGAGGAAGCCACGGCUAACUACGUGCCAGCAGCCGCGGUAAUACGUAGGUGGCGAGCGUUGUCCGGAAUUAUUGGGCGUAAAGCGCGCGCAGGCGGGAAAGUAAGUCUACUCUAAAAGUGCGGGGCUCAACCCCGUGAUGGGGUGGAAACUGCUUUUCUUGAGUGCCGGAGAGGAAAGUGGAAUUCCCAGUGUAGCGGUGAAAUGCGUAGAUAUUGGGAGGAACACCAGUGGCGAAGGCGACUUUCUGGACGGUGUCUGACGCUGAGGCGCGAAAGCCAGGGGAGCGAACGGGAUUAGAUACCCCGGUAGUCCUGGCCGUAAACGAUGGGUACUAGGUGUAGGGGGUAUCGACCCCUCCUGUGCCGGAGUUAACGCAAUAAGUACCCCGCCUGGGGAGUACGGCCGCAAGGUUGA
RNAcentral lists this ribosomal RNA (887 nucleotides) under uncultured bacterium. RNAcentral's name for it is "bacterial SSU rRNA". It matches the Rfam family "Bacterial small subunit ribosomal RNA", at positions 28 to 897 of the family's 1533-position model. The record is from RNAcentral.